CGCGAGAGAGCUGUGUGCUUAACGUCAGGCAGCCGCCGAAGAUGCAAGCUGUAUUUCAGAAUGUUACAUAGGAAGACGGUGAAACUUUCAGGCAAAAGGAUCGAAAA
RNAcentral lists this non-coding RNA (107 nucleotides) under Bariatricus massiliensis. RNAcentral's name for it is "Glycine riboswitch". It matches the Rfam family "Glycine riboswitch aptamer", at positions 14 to 81 of the family's 94-position model. From Rfam's summary of the family: This family represents the bacterial glycine riboswitch. The record is from RNAcentral. Lineage: Bacteria; Bacillati; Bacillota; Clostridia; Lachnospirales; Lachnospiraceae.